RNAcentral lists this ribosomal RNA (305 nucleotides) under uncultured bacterium. Its description in RNAcentral is "bacterial SSU rRNA". It matches the Rfam family "Bacterial small subunit ribosomal RNA", at positions 335 to 655 of the family's 1533-position model. The record is from RNAcentral.
CUGCCUACGGGGGGCAGCAGUGGGGAAUAUUGGGCAAUGGGCGCAAGCCUUACCCAGCAAUACCGCGUGAGUGAAGAAGGUCUUCGGAUUGUAAAGCUCUUUGAUCAGGGACGAACAGAUGACGGUACCUGAAGAACAAGCCCCGGCUAACUCCGUGCCAGCAGCCGCGGUAAUACGGAGGGUGCGAGCGUUAAUCGGAAUUACUGGGCGUAAAGCGCUCGUAGGCGGUAUGUCAAGUCAAGGGUGAAAUCCCCGCGCCCAACGUGGGAACUGCCUUUGAAACUGGCAAACUGGAGUGUGUGAGG